RNAcentral lists this ribosomal RNA (484 nucleotides) under uncultured bacterium. RNAcentral describes it as "partial 16S ribosomal RNA". It matches the Rfam family "Bacterial small subunit ribosomal RNA", at positions 30 to 507 of the family's 1533-position model. The record is from RNAcentral.
AUUGAACGCUGGCGGCAGGCCUAACACAUGCAAGUCGAGCGGAUGAAGGGAGCUUGCUCCUGGAUUCAGCGGCGGACGGGUGAGUAAUGCCUAGGAAUCUGCCUGGUAGUGGGGGAUAACGUCCGGAAACGGGCGCUAAUACCGCAUACGUCCUGAGGGAGAAAGUGGGGGAUCUUCGGACCUCACGCUAUCAGAUGAGCCUAGGUCGGAUUAGCUAGUUGGUGGGGUAAAGGCCUACCAAGGCGACGAUCCGUAACUGGUCUGAGAGGAUGAUCAGUCACACUGGAACUGAGACACGGUCCAGACUUCUACGGGAGGCAGCCGUGGGGAAUAAUGGACAAUGGGCGGAAGCCUUGUCCAGGCAAGGCGGGUGGGUGAAGAAGGUCUUCCGAUUGGUAAACAACUUUAGGUGGGAGGAAGGGCAGUAAGUUUAUACCUUGCUGUUUUGACGGUACCAACAGAAUAAGCACCGGCUAACUUCGUU